RNAcentral lists this long non-coding RNA (283 nucleotides) under Gossypium raimondii (Peruvian cotton). RNAcentral describes it as "long non-coding RNA (GRAI_LNC003462)". Lineage: Eukaryota; Viridiplantae; Streptophyta; Magnoliopsida; Malvales; Malvaceae. The record is from RNAcentral.
GAAAAGAGAAGGGAAGAAAAAAAAAGAAAGUUCCCACUUCUCAUACUAAUAAUGAAAGGAGUUUGGGAUUUGGUGGGUUUGGAUUUUUUUUUUCUAAUUUUAUGUGCUUAAUUUAGAUUUGUUAACUCGAGACAUUGGUUAGUAUUAAAUUUUAAUAAAUUUGGAUUGGAUCAAUUUGAAUUUUUUAAUUUUUUUAUUUCAUUUUAUUUUAGAUUAGUUUUGAGUUGAACUUAUUUGAUUUUUUUAAUAAUCUUUUGAAUUUAUUUGUUCAAGUCAUUUUAAG